Molecule: ribosomal RNA, 451 nt
Filed under: uncultured bacterium
Lineage: Bacteria
Description: partial 16S ribosomal RNA
Rfam family: Bacterial small subunit ribosomal RNA
Source: RNAcentral
AGCGAACGCUGGCGGCAGGCUUAACACAUGCAAGUCGAGCGGGCGUAGCAAUACGUCAGCGGCAGACGGGUGAGUAACGCGUGGGAACGUGCCCUUUGGUUCGGAACAACACAGGGAAGCUUGUGCUAAUACCGGAUAAGCCCUUACGGGGAAAGAUUUAUCGCCGAAGGAUCGGCCCGCGUCUGAGUAGCUUGUUGGUGAGGUAACGGCCCACCAAGGCUACGAUCAGUAGCUGGUCUGAGAGGAGGAUCAGCAACACUGGGACUGAGACACGGCCCAGACUCCUACGGGAGGCAGCAGUGGGGAAUAUUGGACAAUGGGGGCAACCCUGAUCCAGCCAUGCCGCGUGAGUGAUGAAGGCCCUAGGGUUGUAAAGCUCUUUCGGCGGGGAAGAUAAUGACGGUACCCGCAUAAGAAGCCCCGGCUAACUUCGUGCCAGCCGCCACGGUAA